AUCGCGGAAAGGGCAGACGUGCGAGUGGAGAGCUGUGAUGUGACAAAGAUGAUUGAAGGCAGACUGUGGACGUUGUCUAUAUGGACAUUGAACAAAGCAGACUGAUCCCAGUGAUUAAUGCCAAAGCCCUGUUGCCUGGGGAGAGGGUGAUGUUUGACUUUCUUGUACAGCUGCAGAUUGUGUGGGGAAGGUGCUCCCACAAUGUGGUUGGGAUGAGGCUGUCACUGGCUCGGCCAGCAUUUCUUGCUGCGUUUACCCAGAGGGCAGUUAAGAGUCAACAACGUUG
Hemiscyllium ocellatum (epaulette shark) is the source of this 286-nucleotide long non-coding RNA. RefSeq lists it as uncharacterized. The transcript has 4 exons. Lineage: Eukaryota; Metazoa; Chordata; Chondrichthyes; Orectolobiformes; Hemiscylliidae. The record is from RefSeq and is a predicted model, not a curated record.